Molecule: small RNA, 551 nt
Filed under: Histoplasma capsulatum
Lineage: Eukaryota; Fungi; Ascomycota; Eurotiomycetes; Onygenales; Ajellomycetaceae
Also listed under: 1 other name
Description: hypothetical RNA
Source: RNAcentral
CUCCAACACCCCGCCUCAGACCCACUCUACCAUCCAGCCAGCUGGAGGAACCUGAUUCUUUCUACUCCGUAAGUUCCACUACUCUACUGCCAUUGGUCCUGGGGUUUUUCCUGAGUGUAUAUCUAUAUAUAUACCUUGGCAAGAGAAUGUGCAUUAGUAAGAGAUAUUAUUCUGGCCUUGAUCUGAUUUGAAUCUGUGAUAGCAUUUUCACACACCCUGUAGCACUUACACAGGCUCAUAAUUUAUUAGGCCACUGGGGCAAAAGAGCUCAAUCACCACCAGCGCUGUGGUGGUAUAGACGGUACGAAUCACCCAAUCCAAUCCCUCCAACAGAACACAACACCGUUAUCCUUCAUCACUGGACCUGUGUUGGGUUGUGUGGUGGUGGCAGUGCCGUACCUUCUCUAUGUUGAAGUUACAAAUGAAUUGUGAAUAUCAAAAAAUUACAAAAUAAUUAUUAUAUGUGAUUUUUUCGGAGAAUAGGCGAACAUAUAAUAAAAUCAAUAUAAAUAAGUAGCAGCAUUACCUUUGAUAGUAGAAAGUAUUCAUAA